GAUGAACGCUGGCGGCGUGCUUAACACAUGCAAGUCGAACGGAGACAUUAAGGAGCUUGCUCCGAGAUGUUUUAGCGGCGGACGGGUGAGUAACGCGUGAGCAAUCUGUCCCAUACAGGGGGAUAACACUUGGAAACAGGUGCUAAUACCGCAUGAGACCACAACGUCACAUGGCGAAGGGGUCAAAGGAGCAAUCCGGUAUGGGGUGAGCUCGCGUCCGAUUAGCUGGUUGGUGAGGUAACGGCCCACCAAGGCGACGAUCGGUAGCCGACCUGAGAGGGUGAUCGGCCACAUUGGAACUGAGAGACGGUCCAAACUCCUACGGGAGGCAGCAGUGGGGAAUAUUGGGCAAUGGGCGAAAGCCUGACCCAGCAACGCCGCGUGAGGGAAGAAGGUUUUCGGA
RNAcentral lists this ribosomal RNA (403 nucleotides) under uncultured bacterium. RNAcentral describes it as "bacterial SSU rRNA". It matches the Rfam family "Bacterial small subunit ribosomal RNA", at positions 28 to 422 of the family's 1533-position model. The record is from RNAcentral.